Molecule: non-coding RNA, 21 nt
Filed under: Arabidopsis thaliana (thale cress)
Lineage: Eukaryota; Viridiplantae; Streptophyta; Magnoliopsida; Brassicales; Brassicaceae
Source: RNAcentral
UGGCCGAGGGCACGUCUGCCU